ACUCCUACGGGAGGCAGCAGUGGGGAAUAUUGCACAAUGGGCGCAAGCCUGAUGCAGCCAUGCCGCGUGUAUGAAGAAGGCCUUGGGUUGUAAAGUACUUUCAGCAGUGAGGAAGGGUGGGUAGUGUUAAUAGCAUAUUCUAUUUGUACGUUAGCUGCAGAAGAAGCACCGGCUAACUCCGUGCCAGCAGCCGCGGUAAUACGGAGGGUGCGAGCGUUAAUCGGAAUUACUGGGCGUAAAGCGCAUGCAGGUGGUUUGUUAAGUCAGAUGUGAAAGCCCGGGGCUCAACCUCGGAAUUGCAUUUGAAACUGGCAAACUAGAGUACUGUAGAGGGGGUAGAAUUUCAGGUGUAGCGGUGAAAUGCGUAGAGAUCUGAAGGAAUACCGGUGGCGAAGGCGGCCCCUGGACAGAUACUGACACUCAGAUGCGAAAGCGUGGGAGCAAACAGGAUUAGAU
RNAcentral lists this ribosomal RNA (456 nucleotides) under uncultured bacterium. Its description in RNAcentral is "bacterial SSU rRNA". It matches the Rfam family "Bacterial small subunit ribosomal RNA", at positions 335 to 783 of the family's 1533-position model. The record is from RNAcentral.